GCGAACGGGUGAGUAAUGCAUCGGAACGUGCCCAGUCGUGGGGGAUAACUGCUCGAAAGAGCAGCUAAUACCGCAUACGACCUGAGGGUGAAAGCGGGGGACCGUAAGGCCUCGCGCGAUUGGAGCGGCCGAUGUCAGAUUAGCUAGUUGGUGGGGUAAAGGCCUACCAAGGCAACGAUCUGUAGUUGGUCUGAGAGGACGACCAGCCACACUGGGACUGAGACACGGCCCAGACUCCUACGGGAGGCAGCAGUGGGGAAUUUUGGACAAUGGGCGCAAGCCUGAUCCAGCAAUGCCGCGUGCAGGAAGAAGGCCUUCGGGUUGUAAACUGCUUUUGUCAGGGAAGAAAUCUUCUGGGCUAAUACCCCGGGAGGAUGACGGUACCUGAAGAAUAAGCACCGGCUAACUACGUGCCAGCAGCCGCGGUAAUACGUAGGGUGCGAGCGUUAAUC
Molecule: ribosomal RNA, 452 nt
Filed under: uncultured bacterium
Lineage: Bacteria
Description: bacterial SSU rRNA
Rfam family: Bacterial small subunit ribosomal RNA
Source: RNAcentral